RNAcentral lists this ribosomal RNA (301 nucleotides) under uncultured bacterium. RNAcentral's name for it is "partial 16S ribosomal RNA". It matches the Rfam family "Bacterial small subunit ribosomal RNA", at positions 509 to 807 of the family's 1533-position model. The record is from RNAcentral.
CAGCCGCCGCGGUAAUGCGUAGGGUGCAAGCGUUAAUCGGAAUUACUGGGCGUAAAGCGUGCGCAGGCGGUUAUAUAAGUCAGAUGUGAAAUCCCCGGGCUCAACCUGGGAACUGCAUUUGAGACUGUAUGGCUAGAGUGUGUCAGAGGGGGGUAGAAUUCCACGUGUAGCAGUGAAAUGCGUAGAUAUGUGGAGGAAUACCGAUGGCGAAGGCAGCCCCCUGGGAUAACACUGACGCUCAUGCACGAAAGCGUGGGGAGCAAACAGGAUUAGAUACCCAGGUAGUCCCUGUCUCUUAUAC